RNAcentral lists this small RNA (1097 nucleotides) under Haslea silbo. Its description in RNAcentral is "eukaryotic LSU rRNA". The stretch from base 456 to 610 matches the Rfam family "5.8S ribosomal RNA". Lineage: Eukaryota; Bacillariophyta; Bacillariophyceae; Naviculales; Naviculaceae. The record is from RNAcentral.
UCCGUAGGUGAACCUGCGGAAGGAUCAUUACCACACCGAUCUACGAUCAUUGUUUUGGAGAAAGAUGUUAGUGUCAGAUCUUGAACUGCGGUUCGGUCAAUGGAUCGUGUUGGGUCUGUCCUAGCGGGGUUUGUUUUGCUCGUCGAAAGAAUCCCAAGGUUGCGAAAUUGUUGAAUUGUUGAUGGUGGGACUUAGACUACUGUAGGCUGUAGUUGGUUUCAUUGGAGGUUCAUGCAGUUUUGGUUUUGUCUCUGUGGGGACAAAAGCAUGUAAGAAAAAUCCACACACGUAGUUUUUGGAAUGAUACUAACCUGCCUGGAAAGAGUCGGAUGCAUCCUACCUAUUGUAGGAUGUGUGUGACGGAAUAGCACUGAAUUGCACCAAAGUAGGAAAGUGGACUGCCCAGUGUAGUUGUGGACUGCUUUGGAAGGUAACAAAUGAUAAAACUAUAGUACAACUUUCAGCAAUGGAUGUCUAGGUUCCCACAACGAUGAAGAACGCAGCGAAAUGCGAUACGUAAUGCGAAUUGCAAGACCUCGAGAAUCAUCAAGAUUUUGAACGCACAUUGCGCUGCUUGGAAUUUCCUGGUAGCAUGUUUGUCUGAGUGUCCGUGAACCCCAAUCAGCGCAGUAGGAUUAUAUUCUGAUAACAAAUGAUGUAAUUGUAUUGUAGCUUGGAGGAAGUAUGCCAGUGCCCACUACGUUGAUAAUGUGGUUGGCUCUUGUGUGAAGAAAACCCCAAUCCAAAUUCAAAGCCCAAGAACUAAUGGAUUAGGCUUGUGGAUGGAAACAACACCAUUUCUGUUUGGAGUCUCUCGUAGAUUGGUGGGAGGGGGUAAUGUUCGUACGCUUGUAUUUGUUGCUUGUGUAUGAGUGUGCUUGUUUCCAGCAUGAAUGUAGAGAUAUGUACCAUUUGGUAGCCAGAAGAGAAUGGUUGUGUUGUAUCCGGGCUUGACGAUGGAGAAAAAAACCGAACAAGGCUUUGUACACUUUUUUGCAAAGUGUUGUCCUUUUUCUGUUGUUGGAAGAAUGUUUGUGUCCGGAUCUCAGCUUAAACAAGAGGACCCGCUGAAUUUAAGCAUAUCAAUAAGCGGAGGA